CAGCGCCAUGAGUGGCAAUCAGAAUUAUUGGGCCUAAAGCGUCCGUAGCCGGUUUGAUAAGUCUUUUGUGAAAUCGUUGUGCUUAACAUAACGUUGUGCAAGAGAUACUGUCUAACUUGGAACCGGGAGGAGUCAGAGGUAUUCUAAGGGGAGCGGUAAAAUGCUAUAAUCCUUGGAGGACCACCUGUGGCGAAAGCGUCUGACUAGAACGGCUUCGACGGUGAGGGACGAAAGCCAGGGGAGCAAACCGGAUUAGAGACCCGAGUAGUCC
This 271-nucleotide ribosomal RNA is filed under the name uncultured archaeon. RNAcentral describes it as "partial 16S ribosomal RNA". It matches the Rfam family "Archaeal small subunit ribosomal RNA", at positions 477 to 747 of the family's 1478-position model. The record is from RNAcentral.